RNAcentral lists this transfer RNA (72 nucleotides) under Coleonyx variegatus. RNAcentral describes it as "tRNA-Glu". The record is from RNAcentral. Lineage: Eukaryota; Metazoa; Chordata; Lepidosauria; Squamata; Eublepharidae.
GUUCUUAUAGUUGAAUUACAACGGCGGUUUUUCGGGUUGCAGGUUCUAGUUUAAUAAAGCUAGAUAAGAAUA